GGACCAAGGAGUCUAGCAUGUGCGCGAGUCAUUGGGACCAUAUCUUAACCUAUAGGCGAAAUGAAAGUGAAGGUAGGCCUUGCGCUUGCCGAGGGAGGAUGGGUCGGCUUCGGCCGCGACCUCGCACUCCCGGGGCGUCUCGUUCUCAUCGCGAGAUGAGGCGCACCCAGAGCGUACACGCUGGGACCCGAAAGAUGGUGAACUAUGCCUGGUCAGGACGAAGUCAGGGGAAACCCUGAUGGAGGUCCGUAGCGAUUCUGACGUGCAAAUCGAUCGUCGGAACUGGGUAUAGGGGCGAAAGACUAAUCGAACCAUCUAGUAGCUGGUUCCCUCCGAAGUUUCCCUCAGGAUAGCUGGCGCUCGCUUUCGCGAGUCUCAUCCGGUAAAGCGAAUGAUUAGAGGCAUUGGGGUCGAAACGGCCUCAACCUAUUCUCAAACUUUAAAUGGGUUAGACCUCCGGCUUGCUUGAACGUGAAGCCGCGAGAUAACGUCGGUCUUCGGGCCGACGGAACGGAUCAGAGUGCCAAGUGGGCCACUUUUGGUAAGCAGAACUGGCGCUGUGGGAUGAACCAAACGUCGAGUUAAAGCGCUUAAAUCGACGCUUAUGGGAUGCCAUGAAAGGCGUUGGUAACUUAAGACAUCAGGACGGUGGCCAUGGAAGUCGGA
This 666-nucleotide ribosomal RNA is filed under the name Orectogyrus ornaticollis. RNAcentral's name for it is "eukaryotic LSU rRNA". It matches the Rfam family "Eukaryotic large subunit ribosomal RNA", at positions 663 to 1265 of the family's 3401-position model. The record is from RNAcentral. Lineage: Eukaryota; Metazoa; Arthropoda; Insecta; Coleoptera; Gyrinidae.